Molecule: transfer RNA, 82 nt
Filed under: Echinostoma caproni
Lineage: Eukaryota; Metazoa; Platyhelminthes; Trematoda; Plagiorchiida; Echinostomatidae
Rfam family: tRNA
About the family: Transfer RNA (tRNA) molecules are approximately 80 nucleotides in length. Their secondary structure includes four short double-helical elements and three loops (D, anti-codon, and T loops). Further hydrogen bonds mediate the characteristic L-shaped molecular structure. tRNAs have two regions of fundamental functional importance: the anti-codon, which is responsible for specific mRNA codon recognition, and the 3' end, to which the tRNAs corresponding amino acid is attached (by aminoacyl-tRNA synthetases). tRNAs cope with the degeneracy of the genetic code in two manners: having more than one tRNA (with a specific anti-codon) for a particular amino acid; and 'wobble' base-pairing, i.e. permitting non-standard base-pairing at the 3rd anti-codon position.
Source: Rfam by way of RNAcentral
GGCCUCGUAGCUCAGCUGGUAGAGCAUACGAGUACAAAGCGUAGGUGGCGUCCAUUCUUGGGUUCGAAUCCCACCGAGGCUA